ACUUUCUACUUUUUGAGUGUUUGUAUUGAGUUUUGUUUUAAGAAGUGCAGUUUUGCCGAGUCGAAGUUCUAGGCAUUUUCUUAACAAUUCUUUAUCGCCUUCUUUCAUUUUCAGAACUGAAUCUGCAGGUAAAUAGGCAGGUUUCCAUGCCUUGAUCCGCCUGCCCGAACACACAAAUGAAUGCCUUUGACACAGUGUUGAACAGUUGCCACUCACACAGGCCACGAUGGAAUCGAUGGUGUGUUUCGUUCUCAGCAAUGGUGUAGACCGCUUGAGUUGCAGGCUGGAGGGGUGUGCUCGAGCUCCCACCGAAAAGUCUGUUGUUGUAACGGCAGUCUCCCUCAACACUUAUCUUGUGAUCACUGGAAAUCUUCCAAGGCAUCGGGAACAGCUGGGUGAGGCCGAAGUAACCGCAUAUUGCCAGUCGUCCCCUGUGAAUCGGUGACCACAUAUGAAGAUGCACCUCGACUCGUUGACGGCUUAGCCACUGCAUCAAAGUCUUCCCUGGACAGCCUGGUACAGGCCAAAUCAGACCAACACAGUGACACUCCUCAAAGAGUUAUCCCCCCUUGACCAGCCGUCAACAUAUAACCAAGUGACUUUCGUGAAGUGCCAAAUGUUAGUAUUCAUGUUGGAGCAAUAAAAUUUAUAAACCGA
Gigantopelta aegis is the source of this 657-nucleotide long non-coding RNA. RefSeq lists it as uncharacterized. The record is from RefSeq and is a predicted model, not a curated record. The transcript is spliced from 4 exons. Lineage: Eukaryota; Metazoa; Mollusca; Gastropoda; Neomphalida; Peltospiridae.